GGAGGAUCCAAGCGUUAUCCGGAUUUAUUGGGUUUAAAGGGUGCGUAGGCGGCGUGUUAAGUCAGAGGUGAAAGCCUGCAGCUCAACUGUAGAACUGCCUUUGAUACUGGCGCGCUUGAGUACAGAUGAAGUGGGCGGAAUGUGACAAGUAGCGGUGAAAUGCAUAGAUAUGUCACAGAACACCGAUUGCGAAGGCAGCUCACUAAAGUGUAACUGACGCUGAGGCACGAAAGCGUGGGGAUCAAACAGGAUUAGAUACCCUGGUAGUCCACGCCCUAAACGAUGAUUACUCGCUGUCGGCGAUAUACAGUCGGCGGCUAAGCGAAAGCGUUAAGUAAUCCACCUGGGGAGUACGGUCGCAAGAUUGAA
Molecule: ribosomal RNA, 369 nt
Filed under: uncultured bacterium
Lineage: Bacteria
Description: bacterial SSU rRNA
Rfam family: Bacterial small subunit ribosomal RNA
Source: RNAcentral